CUUGGAUGUUGGCCUGUCCAAAUCUGCAGUGGUUUUUUAAAUAGUGGCUCACUUUUCAGAAAGGUCCCACAUGCUCAUUAACACUCUCAGAAAGAGAAGGGCUCUAUUUUAUCCUAAAGGGAUGGACUCUACUUCCUCUAGCUGAUUUCAUCUUCUGGAAAGUCCCAUUCCCCCAAGAAGUUCAGUUUAUGGAACUGAAACUAGCAUAAAAUUAGUCUAGAAUAUUACUGUGCUAUAAGAACGGUGUCCAGAGGCAGGCUUCUAAAGUUUAAGCCUAUUUUUAAGAGGCGAAAAAUACAGUAUUUGCUUCGCAGAAAAGGAAAAAUUACAACACACUAGGAAAGUGUGUGCUUGAAAACUGGAAGAGUUAAUCCACAGGAGACCUGGGCAAGUUUGAACAGUGCAAUUUAAAGUUAACAGUUCUCCCUAAGUAAAUGUACCCAUUGAUUAAACAUAAUAUUCCUUCCAGCAUCUUCUUCCCUGAAACCUUAUUAACGGCUGAGCUUCUGUUCCAGUGGAAAUAAAAGCGAAAAUCUUCAAAGCAGGUUUUUAUAAAGGGGGUUUUAAAUUAAAUAAAUUAUACUGACCUAACCUGCAGCUGAGCUUUCUCCUCCUUUGAUCACAUACUAGUACUAGUCGUCGUAUCUGUUUUGUACAAGUGUAACAUCACAGUAUCAAGAUAUGGAUUCAGUCAGUCAUGGUUUGUUUGUGCCUUACAUGAUUGUGGCGUUUUCUUAAGUGCCUCUGUGGUGGCUAUCUCGUCUUGAGUCCCUUAUUAUGUUCCUUUUUCUGUUCUAGAUAUUUUUAUCUGGCAGCUGUGAACCUUUUUAAAAGUUCAACUCAAAGGAAUAAACAUUGCCACACUGAA
This is a long non-coding RNA of Podarcis raffonei (Aeolian wall lizard), 868 nucleotides long. RefSeq lists it as uncharacterized. The record is from RefSeq and is a predicted model, not a curated record. The transcript has 2 exons. NCBI's taxonomy places the organism in Eukaryota, Metazoa, Chordata, Lepidosauria, Squamata, Lacertidae.